AUGGCCUCCGCCCGCCUCGUAGCCCUCGCGGCAUUGGCAGUCGUGUGCCGCUCUCUGUUGGGCCUGGCCUCCGCGGCGGACGACGGAGAAGUGCGGGCGCUGCUGGAGCUCAAGGCGGCGCUGGACCCGACGGGGCGCCUGCUGCCGUCGUGGGCGCCCGGGCGGGACCCUUGCGCCCGGGGCGGGUUCGAGGGCGUCGCGUGCGACGGCAGCGGCGCCGUCGCCAACGUCUCGCUGCAGGGGAAGGGCCUGGCCGGGACGCUCUCCCCGGCCGUUGCCGGCCUCCGCGCGCUCACCGGCCUGUACCUCCACUACAACGCGCUCCGCGGCGGCGUGCCCCGGGAGCUCGGCAGGCUCACACGGCUCACCGAUUUCUACCUCAACGUCAACAACUUGUCCGGGCCCAUCCCGGCCGAGAUCGGCGCCAUGGCCUCGCUGCAAGUGCUGCAGCUGUGCUACAAUCAGCUGACCGGGAGCAUCCCCACGCAGCUGGGGCUACCGAACAGGCUCACCGUGUUGGCUCUGCAGUCCAACCACCUGAACGGCGCCAUCCCUGCCAGCCUCGGCGACCUGCCGGAGCUGAGGCGGCUGGACUUGAGCUUCAACCACCUCUUCGGCUCCAUCCCAGUGAGGCUGGCCAGGCUGCCUCAGCUCGCCGCUCUCGAUGUUAGGAACAACUCGCUCACCGGCAGCGUGCCCUCCGAACUGGCCAAGCUGGAGGGUGGAUUCCAGUACGGGAACAACAGUGAUCUGUGCGGCACCGGGCUCCCCGAUCUCCGUCCGUGCACUCCGGCGGACCUCAUCGACCCCGACAGGCCCCAGCCGUUCAGCGCUGGUAUCGCGCCGCAGAUCACGCCGGACGGGGCCCGCGGGCAUUGCAGCGGCACCCACUGCCCCCCUUCCACCAAGGCGCUGGCGGCCGUCGUCGUUGUCGCGGUGAUCCUUCUGGCGGCGACAGCGGCCGGUCUCUUGGCCUUGUCGUGGCACAGGUGGCGCAAGCAGAGGACGGCCGCAGGCGCACCUCCGAUGACCACCGUGGGCGGCCGGUGCAGCACAGAGGGCGAGGAGAGCAAGGAAUCGUUCCGCAAGAGCGCGUCGUCAACGCUGGUGAGUCUGGAGUACUCCAACGGCUGGGACCCGCUGGCCGACGGGCGGAGCGGCGUGGGGUUCUCGCAGGAGGUGUCCCCGAGCCUCCGGUUCAACAUGGAGGAGGUGGAGUCGGCGACGCAGUACUUCUCGGAGCUGAAUCUCCUGGGAAAGAAAAACUCCAAGUCCAAGGGUGGCGCCGGAAGCAGCUUCGCGGCCACGUACAGGGGCACGCUGCGCGACGGCACGCCCGUCGUGGUCACCCGGCUGGGCAAGACCUGCUGCAAGCAGGAGGAGGCGGAGUUCCUCAAGGGCCUCAAGCUGCUCGCCGAGCUCCAGCACGACAACAUCGUGGGGCUGAGGGGGUUCUGCUGCUCCAGGGCCAGGGGAGAGUGCUUCCUGGUGCACGACUUCGUGCCCAACGGGAGCCUGUCGCACUUCUUGGACGUUGCAGGAGAAGACGGCGGCGGCGGUGCUCUCGGGCAUGGCGGCCGCGUCCUUGAGUGGUCCACGAGGGUGUCCAUCAUCAAGGGCAUUGCUAAAGGAAUUGGAUAUCUGCACAGUACUAGAGCAAACAAGCCCCCUUUGGUUCACCAAAACAUAUCGGCGGACAAAGUUCUGGUGGAUUACACCUACAAGCCCCUGAUUUCUGGUUCCGGCCUGCACAAGCUCCUUGUGGACGACCUGGUCUUCUCGACCCUCAAGGCGAGCGCCGCCAUGGGGUACCUUGCCCCUGAGUACACCACCGUCGGCCGGUUCUCGGAGAAGAGCGAUGUUUACGCUUUCGGGGUAAUUGUGUUUCAGAUACUGACGGGUAAAAGUAAAACGAUGCAGCUGCCCUUCGAGUCAGGAAACGUCCAUGACCUCAUCGAUGGCAACAUGAAAGGAUGUUACUCGGCAACAGAAGCGGCUAAACUGGCAAAGAUUGCAUUGGUCUGCACGAGUGAAAACCCUGAGCAAAGACCCAACAUGGAAGAGCUGCUUCAAGAAUUGGACACCUUGUAA
Molecule: ribosomal RNA, 2091 nt
Filed under: Triticum aestivum (bread wheat)
Lineage: Eukaryota; Viridiplantae; Streptophyta; Magnoliopsida; Poales; Poaceae
Description: partial small subunit ribosomal RNA
Source: RNAcentral